RNAcentral lists this ribosomal RNA (254 nucleotides) under uncultured bacterium. RNAcentral describes it as "partial 16S ribosomal RNA". It matches the Rfam family "Bacterial small subunit ribosomal RNA", at positions 524 to 776 of the family's 1533-position model. The record is from RNAcentral.
GACGAACCGUGCGACCGUUAUUCGGAAUCACUGGGCUUAAAGCGCGUGUAGGCGGGACGGCACGUCGGUCGCUGAAAUCCCCCGGCUUAACCGGGGAACUGGCGUCGAUACGACCGUCCUGGAGGGGCGUAGGGGGACCUGGAACUUCCGGUGGAGCGGUGAAAUGCGUUGAGAUCGGAAGGAACGCCCGUGGCGAAAGCGAGGUCCUGGACGCCUACUGACGCUGAGACGCGAAAGCCAGGGGAGCGAACGGG